This 2458-nucleotide unclassified non-coding RNA is filed under the name Hevea brasiliensis (rubber tree). Lineage: Eukaryota; Viridiplantae; Streptophyta; Magnoliopsida; Malpighiales; Euphorbiaceae. The record is from RNAcentral.
GACUUUCUAUAACAUAGUGAUUGAUUUUCCAUAACAUUAGGCAUCAUUUGUUUAAUGAGUUUUGAAAUUGCUGCUGGUUUUUCUCAUAGCCUUUGAUUUUCUAGUAAUCUUGGAGCUUAAUGCAUGUGUGAUAUAGUUCACCAUGGACUUAAAUUCUUGCAUUAAGCACUAGAAAGUCAAUUUUUUUUUCUAAUUUUACAAUUAUGGGCAAUACACUAGUCCUAAAUUUAAUUAAUUACAUGUAAAAUUAACACAUAAAUAGUGAAAUUAAGCACACACAUAUUAAUAAAUUUUGGUGGCGCAGUAUUGAUGGCUUUAUCUUUUUAUAUCCUUUUGCAAUGGCUGUAUUGGAAACUGAUUUUACAUGUAAUUAAUUUGAUAAAUGUGGCCUGGCCAUGAUUGCAUCCAAUAGUAAAGUAUAAGCUGUAAUAAUCUAUUUCAAAUGUAAGGACCACAAUUGCAAAUUGGGAAAACAAAAUUCAUGACCUCUUUUGUAAUUAGCCAUAGCAAAAUAAAUGUUAAUGUUUUAGCUUUUAAGUGAUAUGGGAGUAAAUUACUAGUAUCGGUUUUCAUUAGAGCCUAAAUAGAAUAAUGGUCACUUGUGAUAGUAGGAUUUUUUUUUUGUGCAUAUUUAUGGAUAGUCUGCUUAAAUGUAAUAAGAGUGAAGAAUCAUUGUGUCCAUACUCCAUACUUUUUUUCCCCCUCUCUAUUGAGUCAUAACUUUUGAUCCAAUGUACUAUUUUCUGAACCUAGAAACGAACAUAUUUACCAUUUUUUUCCUGGAUUAUCUUUCUGUUGUAGAAUUGUAAAUUUAAUAUGUGCGCAUAGAAACAUUAAAUUGUGUUUUUAUUUUAGCACAAAAGGCACAAAAAUAGAGAAUAACUCAAGAGUGACUUUUCAUUAGAUAUAACCAAGUAAUACAAAAAUAAUUGUCAAUAAAUGUAACAAAAUAUUUAAAAUUAGACUUAUAUGAGACAAGAACCUUAAACAUUAUAAUGAAUUAAUUUAAAAAGGAAUGUGGCCCAUUUAUUGGCUCUAGAAAUUGAAAGUGGAUGAUGAUGUUUGGCAAAUUGACAUGACUAACAAUCUAAGGAUGAUCUAUUUUGAAAUUGAGGACAUGGUUUCUUCAAGGAAGACAGAAGGAUGUCCCAACCAACAAUGCACCUCAAACGGGUCAAAAUACCAGAACAAGCAAUAGAUCUCGGCACCUGUGUGUAAAGGAUGUAGAUUGCCAAACUCAUGACCUCUAUCAAUAAUCCACUUUGUCAAAAAAUCCUAAAAUAGACUAUUUUGGAGAAAAUGAUAUACAACAAUUCAAGCUUGAGUUUGCUAACAAAAUUAAAUUGAAUGAAAACUUGAAGACUUAACUCAGAAGACAGAAAUUGAUGCAAUUGGAUUGACAGUUCCAGAACCAAGAACACAUGAGGUGGGCCCAUCUACUAAGGUAAUAUUAGAUGAUGUUGUAUGGGAUUGGAAAGUGGAAAAGAGAGUCGGAUUACUUGUCAUAUGAUUUGUUGUACUAGAAUCAAUGACCUAUUUGGACGAUGAGGAAAUAAGAGGCAUAGUGGUUUUACUUGCCUCGGCGAUAGCAAUGAUAGGAGUAGUGGACUUAAAUGAUUAGGCAAAUUCAUCUUCAUAAGUAGUCUUCUCAGAAGAUGAGGUGGUUGUAGUAUCAGAAGUUGCAAUAUUUGCUAAUAAAUUCCUUUGAGACUUAUUUUGUAGUUUCCUGCAUCUGAGCUUCGUAUGACUCUGCUCAUGACAAUGGUAACAAACAAUUCCUCUUGAAUCUUGAUUGAUACUAUGAACACUUUUGUCACAAUUGUUAGUUAUUACCUGAAUUAUCACCUCUAUUCCAUGAUGUCCAAUCUCAUUCCAAUUACGACGGCUUAUGAGAGCACUAUUAGUAGCAAUUUGAAAAGAUUGUGGUGUUUCAAUACAAAGUACCCGAGUAAAAGUCUCAUAUAAGAUAGCUCAGAUCUGUAAAGGGCCUGAGUCCUACUAGUGUCAAAUUUUGAAGGGAGGCCAGCAAGGAAGCUCAUGAUCGCCAUUGGUUCAUACUAGACUUGUUGAACCUUAGCAUCCAUGAAGUAGGACAUUAAGUCUUCAUUACCAGCAAAGAUGUGGUGUGAUAAUCAAGUUGUUCUUUACAUUGCCUCUAAUGUUGUGUUUCAUGAAUGGACGAAACAUACUAAAAUUGAUUGUCAUUUUGUCUAUGAAAAAAUUCAACAAAAGUUCAUCUCUAUGGUAUAUGUUAAAAUUGGAGGCCAAUUGGGAGAUAACUUCACAAACGCUCUAGAUGGAGCUUGAGUUGAUCAUAUUUGUGACAAGUUGGGCAUGAUUAACAUCUGUGCUCUAGCUUGAGGGGAGUGUUAUAGAAUAGGAAGUUAAAUAUGUUUAUAUUCUUAUAUUGAUUAGCAUAACAUAACUAUAGGAAUUAGCAUAAUUUUAGGGAUUUUAU